GUCUAUGGCCAUGCCAUCCUGAACAAGCCCGAUCCCGUCUGAUCUCGAAAACUAAACAGGGUCGGGCCUGGUUAGUACUUGGAUGGGAGACCACCUAGGAAGACCAGGUGCUGUAGGCA
RNAcentral lists this ribosomal RNA (119 nucleotides) under Pteropus alecto (black flying fox). The record is from RNAcentral. Lineage: Eukaryota; Metazoa; Chordata; Mammalia; Chiroptera; Pteropodidae.